Molecule: unclassified non-coding RNA, 644 nt
Filed under: Debaryomyces hansenii
Lineage: Eukaryota; Fungi; Ascomycota; Pichiomycetes; Serinales; Debaryomycetaceae
Also listed under: 1 other name
Description: sequence contains 18S rRNA gene, ITS1, 5.8S rRNA gene, ITS2, 28S rRNA gene
Rfam family: 5.8S ribosomal RNA (bases 243-396)
Source: RNAcentral
UCGUAACAAGGUUUCCGUAGGUGAACCUGCGGAAGGAUCAUUACAGUAUUCUUUUUGCCAGCGCUUAAUUGCGCGGCGAAAAAACCUUACACACAGUGUUUUUUGUUAUUACAAGAACUUUUGCUUUGGUCUGGACUAGAAAUAGUUUGGGCCAGAGGUUUACUGAACUAAACUUCAAUAUUUAUAUUGAAUUGUUAUUUAUUUAAUUGUCAAUUUGUUGAUUAAAUUCAAAAAAUCUUCAAAACUUUCAACAACGGAUCUCUUGGUUCUCGCAUCGAUGAAGAACGCAGCGAAAUGCGAUAAGUAAUAUGAAUUGCAGAUUUUCGUGAAUCAUCGAAUCUUUGAACGCACAUUGCGCCCUCUGGUAUUCCAGAGGGCAUGCCUGUUUGAGCGUCAUUUCUCUCUCAAACCUUCGGGUUUGGUAUUGAGUGAUACUCUUAGUCGAACUAGGCGUUUGCUUGAAAUGUAUUGGCAUGAGUGGUACUGGAUAGUGCUAUAUGACUUUCAAUGUAUUAGGUUUAUCCAACUCGUUGAAUAGUUUAAUGGUAUAUUUCUCGGUAUUCUAGGCUCGGCCUUACAAUAUAACAAACAAGUUUGACCUCAAAUCAGGUAGGAUUACCCGCUGAACUUAAGCAUAUCAAUAA